This 315-nucleotide small nuclear RNA is filed under the name Myotis brandtii (Brandt's bat). Its description in RNAcentral is "7SK RNA". It matches the Rfam family "7SK RNA". From Rfam's summary of the family: 7SK was discovered as an abundant small nuclear RNA in the mid-70s but a possible function has only recently been suggested. Lineage: Eukaryota; Metazoa; Chordata; Mammalia; Chiroptera; Vespertilionidae. The record is from Rfam by way of RNAcentral.
GGAUGUGAGGGCGAUCUGGCUGCGACAUCUGUCACCCCAUUGAUCGCCAGGGUUGAUUCGGCUGAUCUGGCUGGCUAGGCGGGUGUCCCCCUCCUCCCUCACCGAUCCAUGUGCGUCCCUCCCGAAGCUGCGCGCUCGGUCGAAGAGGACAACCUCCCCCCCCACCCCCAGAAGAGGACCGGUCUUUGGUCAAGGGUAUACGAGUAGCUGCGCUCCCCUGCUAGAACCUCCAAACAAGCUCUCAAGGUUCAAAUGGCAUCCUUUAUCCCUUUGCCCAACUUCCCACCUACUGUGCCAUUGAUAAUGGUCAUCUAU